RNAcentral lists this transfer RNA (69 nucleotides) under Calantica studeri. Its description in RNAcentral is "tRNA-Glu". Lineage: Eukaryota; Metazoa; Arthropoda; Thecostraca; Calanticomorpha; Calanticidae. The record is from RNAcentral.
AUCCUUGUAGUGUAAAAAUACUAACACGCAUUAUUUUCAUUAAUGAGAAGAAAAUUAUUUCCUAAGAUA